AAGUGGAGAAGGGUUCCAUGUGAACAGCAGUUGAACAUGGGUCAGUCGGUCCUAAGGGAUGGGCGAACGCCGUUCCGAAGUGGGGCGAUGGCCUCCGUCGCCCCCGGCCGAUCGAAAGGGUCGGGUUCAGAUCCCCGAACCCGGAGUGGCGGAGAAGGCGCCGCGAGGCGUCCAGUGCGGUGACGCAAACGAACCCGGAGACGCGGCGGGGGCCCCGGGAAGAGUUCUCUUUCUUUGUGAAGGGCAGGGCGCCCUGGAAUGGGUCACCCCGAGAUAGGGGCCCGCGCCCUGGGCGCCGCGGUUCUGGCGGCGUCCGGUGAGCUCUCGCUGGCCCUUGAAAAUCCGGGGGAGAGGGUGUAAAUCUCGCGCCGGGCCGUACCCAUAUCCGCAGCAGGUCUCCAAGGUGAACAGCCUCUGGCAUGUUGGAACAAUGUAGGUAAGGGAAGUCGGCAAGUCAGAUCCGUAACUUCGGGAUAAGGAUUGGCUCU
RNAcentral lists this ribosomal RNA (488 nucleotides) under Ompok pabda (Pabdah catfish). RNAcentral's name for it is "eukaryotic LSU rRNA". It matches the Rfam family "Eukaryotic large subunit ribosomal RNA", at positions 1494 to 1955 of the family's 3401-position model. Lineage: Eukaryota; Metazoa; Chordata; Actinopteri; Siluriformes; Siluridae. The record is from RNAcentral.